UGAACCCAAAGGAGGGGGAGCUCAGGCCUCAGGCCCUCCAGGCCUGAGGUUCCAAAUCCCAGUUCUUGGGCCAGCUCUGUGCUCCUCUGAGACCAGGCCUACAAACAUCCAAGGACCACCUGCUGUAUACAUGGCCUGUGCCUCAGGGUGCUGAGAUGAACUAGGCUCAGCUCCUUCCCCGAAGGUGCCCGUGCGCAUCCCUGUUCCGGGACCACCCGUGAUACAUGACGGCGUAGCGUGUGUUCGAGCGACAGUGGCCGCCAUUUUGAACAUCAGCUGUUUCAGAGCCUGGGGUUUUGGGAGGACACUCAUUCACACAUUCAUUCGUUCAUUCGUUUAUUCAUUCAUUGAAUAAACGAAUGAACUUCAUCAUUCAUCGAAAGAUCUUUGACGGAUCUUUACAGGCAACCAUCACUCUGGAAGGCCGCUCAGCAGCUUCUACUAAAACCAAACAUAGGCCCACGCUAGGGCCCAGCAGGGCCACUCCUGGGUGCAUACCCAGGAGAAAUGCUCACACACCCUGCGAAAAGCCACGUCCCAGAACAGCCUCAUCUCAGGCCAUACAACCUCCACCUCCAACCUUGCCUGCCAGGAUGCAACUCAUCAAAAGCUGUGCUGCACACCUACUAUGUGCAGGGCCAGUGGCCAAGGUCUAGGGAAGAAACAGGCACUCCUGGAACAUGGAACCCAUCUUCAAGGAGCUCAUAGUCCAGCAGAAGCCCAGUACAGGUCUGGGGCCCACACUCAAGGACUUUCUGAGCCAGCCAGCCACUGGACUGACCCCACAGCCACCAGCAACUUCCAGAACCUUCACAUCAGCAGAACACCAGGUCCUCAUCCUUUUGAGGUCUCCCCAGACCCACCCUCUGAGCUCGCUCACCACCACCAAGGCCCAGUGGCCUCACCGCAGACCUCAGGUCUCCUAGCCGGAGCAAGGUGAUGCAAAUCAUCUCGCUGGCUCCGACUCCAACUCAGGGCACUUCUACACCCUGGCCUUGUCUGAUGCUCACAACCACCUCAGGAGGACUAUUAUGCCCAUUUGGCAGGUGAAGAAACUGAGGCCAAGAGAACAAAGCGGGUUGUCAAGGCUAUGCACCCAGCCAAGUGAAGCACUAGGUGGUGUUCAGAGGCCAGAAUCCCAGCGCCAGACCCCCAGGCAGGCUUCAUGACAACUGAUGGUGCCCUCACUGGCUGAGAGCCUCCACAACCAGUCAAUGGCAAGAUGGGACAGACAGCCACUCCCAGGGCCUGCGCCUCACCACCUCACCCCAAAGGGUACUAGUCCCUAAAACUUUGUCCACUGGAGUCCCUGGGACCCUAGAACCCCUACAGGGCCAGUCUGGGCCGUGGGAUUGAGAGAUGGGGUCCACAUCCCUGGUGCCCGCCCAGCUGCUGCUGGGCUGUCGACCAAGCCACCUGGAGCUGAUGCAUUUGGACAUUUCUCUGGCUCCUGGGGGCAACAGGCGGGAGUUGGCACCUCCUGCCACUUCCCCUGGCUGGUCAGGGAGACAGAGUUUUCUCCUGAGCUCAGGGCUUUGCUCUUGAUUCCAGAAAAGCAGCCACGGGCCUUACAUAAGCUCCCAGGCACCUUGGCCUGCCACGUGUCAACCUCCUGGGCUGAAACACACCCUCCCGAGGGUGGCUCCAGCUCUGCCCACCACCGUGCCAGCCUCGGAGCCCACCACUCCCUCCCCUGGCCAUUUGCUCUGGCCAGAUUGGACCUCCUCAGGUCCUAGGCCCUGUUCCCGCUCUUCCCUCUCACUGGGGCACCUUCCCUUCCCCCAAGGCCCUGUUCUCCCAGGCCCUACUGAUUCAUUCAUUUGUCCAGUGAGCACCUACUAUGUGUGGGCACUGUGUGGGCUUCGGGCUAUGCUGGGGCACGAGCCAGACUCAGCACCAGCCCCCAUUCAGCCCACACUUCCGCAGAGGAAAGAGACACACCGAUCAAUUAAUUUCUUUCUUUCUGCUUUUCCACAACUCUUAUCACCAUCAAACACGGUGCAUAAUUUAUGUCUUUGUAUCUCCAUGAUUUGGUGUCUGUCUCUCCAGCCUAAGAGAAGCCUGUAAGGGAGGUGUAUCCCCUCACUGCUGUAUCCCCAGUGCCUGGAAUGGUGCCUGGAGCAUACUAGGUGCUCAAUCAAUAUUUGUUGACUAAGUGAAUAAAAAGUGCUGGGAAGUAAAUAAACAUGAGGGAAAGGUGGGAGUGGAGACAAUCAUCUUGCCCUCUCUAAAGGAAGAGAUGUUUAAGUGAAAACCAAGAACUGGGAGGCCACAGUCCUGACUGAUCUGCUGGAAGAGCACAGGAGGAAUAGCACGUGUGAAGGCCAGGGGAAUGGGGCCCGCUCGGUGCAUUUAAGGAAGGUAAGCGAGGCCGAGCCUCGGGCAGGGAGGCAGAUGGAACCAAAGAGUUUGGCAGGGCCCUGGGGGAGAACACAGAGGAGUGUGGGUUUUAUCCCAAGUUCAACAGAAGCCACAGGUGGGUUUUAGGCAGGGGAGUGGUGUUCUCUGGUCUGUUUCUAAGCCAUCUCUCUAGGGCCUGAAGGGAGAGUGGAUGAAGGGGCAGGGGUGGAGCAGGAAGGGCCCGGAGGAGCUGGGCUGGCCUGCCCUUGGCUGCUGGUGAAGACAGGGUGAAGGCAGUGGAUUGAGAUUUAUUCUCCAGGUAAAGCACCUGGUCUUGCAUCAACCACAGUGGCACACCUGCAACCCUCUCCCCAGAAUUACCGAAGUCCUUCCUGAAACCACACAGGUGGAAAGAGCUCCCCCGGCCUCCGGAACUGCACAAAACUACCCCCUUCCUGCCUCUGGGCUACGUCGCUUGCACUGACUUUAUGUUGCUUCUCUUGGCCUGUUUAAUGCCGCCACACUGUGCUGCCCUUGUGCUCACACCUCUCCCCUCACUGUGGACUCCCAGAAACCACACCCCUAAGGCCACCACCCCCAACUCUCUCCCCAGUGUCCACCCAGCCUC
Symphalangus syndactylus (siamang) is the source of this 2968-nucleotide long non-coding RNA. RefSeq lists it as uncharacterized. NCBI's taxonomy places the organism in Eukaryota, Metazoa, Chordata, Mammalia, Primates, Hylobatidae. The record is from RefSeq and is a predicted model, not a curated record.